GAUGAACGCUGGCGGUAUGCUUAACACAUGCAAGUCGAACGGGGUGCAUAGUCACCUAGUGGCGGACGGGUGAGUAACGCGUGAGAAUCUGGCCUCAGGUCCGGGACAACCACGGGAAACGGUGGCUAAUACCGGAUGUGCCAUAUUGGUGAAAGAUUAAUUGCCUGAGGAUGAGCUCGCGUCUGAUUAGCUAGUUGGUGGGGUAAAGGCUUACCAAGGCGACGAUCAGUAACUGGUCUGAGAGGAUGACCAGUCACACUGGGACUGAGACACGGCCCAGACUCCUACGGGAGGCAGCAGUGGGGAAUUUUCCGCAAUGGGCGAAAGCCUGACGGAGCAAGACCGCGUGAGGGAGGAAGGCUCUUGGGUUGUAAACCUCUUUUCUCAGGGAAGAAGAAUGACGGUACCUGAGGAAUCAGCAUCGGCUAACUCCGUG
Molecule: ribosomal RNA, 436 nt
Filed under: uncultured bacterium
Lineage: Bacteria
Description: partial 16S ribosomal RNA
Rfam family: Bacterial small subunit ribosomal RNA
Source: RNAcentral